This 362-nucleotide ribosomal RNA is filed under the name Pachydactylus visseri. Its description in RNAcentral is "partial 12S ribosomal RNA". It matches the Rfam family "Bacterial small subunit ribosomal RNA", at positions 854 to 1384 of the family's 1533-position model. Lineage: Eukaryota; Metazoa; Chordata; Lepidosauria; Squamata; Gekkonidae. The record is from RNAcentral.
CACUUACACACCUGCUCGCCAGAGAACUACAAGCGAAAGCUUCAAACCCAAAGGACUUGACGGUGUCCCACAUCAGCCUAGAGGAGCCUGUCCUAUAAUCGAUACCCCACGUUUAACCUUACCCUCUCUUGUUCCUCAGCCUAUAUACCGCCGUCGCCAGCCUGCCUGAUGACAGACUACAAGCCGACAUAACUGUAUACCACAAGAACGUCAGGUCAAGGUGUAGCUUAUGAGCAGGGUUAGAGAUGGGCUACAUUUCCCAACAGAGGACGAACCCACCACCACAUGAAAAUUGGUCACAAGCUGGAUUUAGUAGUAAGCAUGGCAAGACAUACCAUCCUGAAAACUGCUCUGGAACGCGU